GACGAACGCUGGCGGCGUGCUUAACACAUGCAAGUCGAACGGAAAGGCCCUGCUUUUGUGGGGUGCUCGAGUGGCGAACGGGUGAGUAACACGUGAGUAACCUGCCCUUGACUUUGGGAUAACUUCAGGAAACUGGGGCUAAUACCGGAUAGGAGCUCCUGCUGCAUGGUGGGGGUUGGAAAGUUUCGGCGGUUGGGGAUGGACUCGCGGCUUAUCAGCUUGUUGGUGGGGUAGUGGCUUACCAAGGCUUUGACGGGUAGCCGGCCUGAGAGGGUGACCGGCCACAUUGGGACUGAGAUACGGCCCAGACUCCUACGGGAGGCAGCAGUGGGGAAUAUUGCACAAUGGGCGGAAGCCUGAUGCAGCAACGCCGCGUGCGGGAUGACGGGCUUCGGGUUGUAAACCGCUUUCGCCUGUGACGAAGCGUGAGUGACGGUAAUGAGUAAAGAAGCACCGGCUAACUACGUG
RNAcentral lists this ribosomal RNA (468 nucleotides) under uncultured bacterium. Its description in RNAcentral is "partial 16S ribosomal RNA". It matches the Rfam family "Bacterial small subunit ribosomal RNA", at positions 28 to 507 of the family's 1533-position model. The record is from RNAcentral.